RNAcentral lists this ribosomal RNA (444 nucleotides) under uncultured prokaryote. RNAcentral describes it as "bacterial SSU rRNA". It matches the Rfam family "Bacterial small subunit ribosomal RNA", at positions 355 to 796 of the family's 1533-position model. The record is from RNAcentral.
UAAGGAAUAUUGGACAAUGGGCGCAAGCCUGAUCCAGCUAUCCCGCGUGCAGGACGACGGCCCUAUGGGUUGUAAACUGCUUUUAUAGAGGAAGAAACGUCCCGACUUGUCGGGAUCUGACGGUACUCUAGGAAUAAGCACCGGCUAACUCCGUGCCAGCAGCCGCGGUAAUACGGAGGGUGCAAGCGUUAUCCGGAAUCACUGGGUUAAAAGGGUGCGUAGGCGGCGCUAUAAGUCAGAGGUGAAAGGCCACCGCUUAACGGUGGGACUGCCUUUGAUACUGUAGUGCUUGAAUCAGGCUGAGGUCGGCGGAAUGUGACAUGUAGCGGUGAAAUGCUUAGAUAUGUCAUAGAACACCAAUUGCGAAGGCAGCUGGCUAGACCUUGAUUGACGCUGAGGCACGAAAGCGCGGGGAGCGAACAGGAUUAGAUACCCCCGUAGUCC